Molecule: ribosomal RNA, 491 nt
Filed under: uncultured bacterium
Lineage: Bacteria
Description: partial 16S ribosomal RNA
Rfam family: Bacterial small subunit ribosomal RNA
Source: RNAcentral
GAUGAACGCUGGCUACAGGCUUAACACAUGCAAGUCGAGGGGAAACGCCGGGGAAGCUUGCUUCCCCGGGCGUCGACCGGCGCACGGGAGAGUAACGCGUAUCCAACCUGCCUCUGACUGAGGGAUAACCCGCCGAAAGUCGGCCUAAUACCUCAUGGUAUCGUCUGCGGGGAGCCAACGACGAUUAAAGAUUUCAUCGGGCAGGGACGGGGAUGCGUCUGAUUAGCUUGUUGGCGGGGUAACGGCCCACCAAGGGUACGAUCAGUAGGGGUUCUGAGAGGAAGGUCCCUGACAUGGGAACUGACACACGGUCCACACUCCUACGGGAGGCAGCAGUGCGGAAGAUUGGUCAAUGGGAGAGAGCCUGAACCAGCCAAGUAGCGUGCAGGAAGACGGCCCUAUGGGUUGUAAACUGCUUUUAUGCGGGGAUAAAGUGAGGGACGGGUCCCUCAUUGCAGGUACCGGAUGAAUAAGGACCGGCUAAUUCCGUG